UUCUGAUGUAGCUCACUUGGUAGAGCAUGAGACUCUUAAGCUCAGGGUCGUUGGUUCAAGCCCCACAUUGGGGGAAA
This 77-nucleotide transfer RNA is filed under the name Podarcis lilfordi (Lilford's wall lizard). RNAcentral's name for it is "tRNA.Lys". It matches the Rfam family "tRNA". Rfam says of the family: Transfer RNA (tRNA) molecules are approximately 80 nucleotides in length. Lineage: Eukaryota; Metazoa; Chordata; Lepidosauria; Squamata; Lacertidae. The record is from RNAcentral.